GGCUUAGAGUUUGAUCAUGGCUCAGGAUAAACGCUGGCGGCGCACAUAAGACAUGCAAGUCGAACGGACCAAAACAAUAGUUUACUAAUGUCGAGGUUAGUGGCGGACUGGUGAGUAACACGUAAGCAACCUGCCUAACAGAGGGGAACAACAGUUAGAAAUGACUGCUAAUACCGCAUAUGCCUAAGUAUCGCAUGAUACAAUAGGGAAAGGAGAAAUCCGCUGAUAGAUGGGCUUGCGACUGAUUAGCUAGUUGGUGGGGUAGAGGCCUACCAAGGCGACGAUCAGUAGCCGAACUGAGAGGUUGAACGGCCACAUUGGGACUGAGAUACGGCCCAGACUCCUACGGGAGGCAGCAGUCGGGAAUAUUGCGCAAUGGAGGAAACUCUGACGCAGUGACGCCGCGUGCAGGAAGAAGGUUUUCGGAUUGUAAACUGCUUUAGACAGGGAAGAAAAAAGACAGUACCUGUAGAAUAAGCUCCGGCUAACUACGUGCCAGCAGCCGCGGUAAUACGUAGGGAGCGAGCGUUAUCCGGAUUUAUUGGGUGUAAAGGGUGCGUAGACGGGAAUGUAAGUUAGUUGUGAAAUCCCUUGGCUUAACUGAGGAACUGCAACUAAAACUAUAUUUCUUGAGUACUGGAGAGGAAAGUGGAAUUCCUAGUGUAGCGGUGAAAUGCGUAGAUAUUAGGAGGAACACCAGUGGCGAAGGCGACUUUCUGGACAGAAACUGACGUUGAGGCACGAAAGUGUGGGGAGCAAACAGGAUUAGAUACCCUGGUAGUCCACACCGUANACGAUGGAUACUAGGUGUAGGGGGUAUUAAAAUCCUCUGUGCCGUCGCAAACGCAAUAAGUAUCCCACCUGGGGAGUACGGCCGCAAG
This 881-nucleotide ribosomal RNA is filed under the name uncultured bacterium. RNAcentral's name for it is "bacterial SSU rRNA". It matches the Rfam family "Bacterial small subunit ribosomal RNA", at positions 1 to 892 of the family's 1533-position model. The record is from RNAcentral.